Molecule: ribosomal RNA, 592 nt
Filed under: Monanchora arbuscula
Lineage: Eukaryota; Metazoa; Porifera; Demospongiae; Poecilosclerida; Crambeidae
Description: SSU rRNA
Rfam family: Eukaryotic small subunit ribosomal RNA
Source: RNAcentral
UGUCUCAAGACUAAGCCAUGCAUGUCUAAGUAUAAACGCUUCUAUACUGUGAAACUGCGAAUGGCUCAUUAAAUCAGUUAUAGUUUAUUUGAUGGUUCCUUGCUACUUGGAUAACCGUAGUAAUUCUAGAGCUAAUACAUGCAGAAAGUCCCGACCUCUGGAAGGGAUGUAUUUAUUAGAUCCAAAACCGGCGCAGGUCCUCCGGGGCCUGGUUGCUUGGUGAUUCAUGAUAACUGCUCGAACCGUAUGGCCUCUCGUGCCGACGGUGCUUCAUUCAAAUUUCUGCCCUAUCAACUUUCGAUGGUACGGUAGUGGCCUACCAUGGUUGCAACGGGUGACGGAGAAUUAGGGUUCGGUUCCGGAGAGGGAGCCUGAGAAACGGCUACCACAUCCAAGGAAGGCAGCAGGCGCGCAAAUUACCCAAUCCCGACUCGGGGAGGUAGUGACAAUAAAUAACAAUGCCGGGCUAUCGUAGUCUGGCAAUUGGAAUGAGUACAAUCUAAAUCCCUUAACGAGGAACAAUUGGAGGGCAAGUCUGGUGCCAGCAGCCGCGGUAAUUCCAGCUCCAAUAGCGUAUAUUAAAGUUGUUGCA